This 497-nucleotide ribosomal RNA is filed under the name uncultured bacterium. Its description in RNAcentral is "partial 16S ribosomal RNA". It matches the Rfam family "Bacterial small subunit ribosomal RNA", at positions 28 to 507 of the family's 1533-position model. The record is from RNAcentral.
GAUGAACGCUGGCGGCGUGCCUAAUACAUGCAAGUCGAGCGAACAGACGAGGAGCUUGCUCCUCUGACGUUAGCGGCGGACGGGUGAGUAACACGUGGAUAACCUACCUAUAAGACUGGGAUAACUUCGGGAAACCGGAGCUAAUACCGGAUAAUAUAUUGAACCGCAUGGUUCAAUAGUGAAAGACGGUUUUGCUGUCACUUAUAGAUGGAUCCGCGCCGCAUUAGCUAGUUGGUAAGGUAACGGCUUACCAAGGCAACGAUGCGUAGCCGACCUGAGAGGGUGAUCGGCCACACUGGAACUGAGACACGGUCCAGACUCCUACGGGAGGCAGCAGUAGGGAAUCUUCCGCAAUGGGCGAAAGCUUGACGGAGCAACGCCGCGUGAGUGAUGAAGGUCUUCGGAUCGUAAAACUCUGUUAUUAGGGAAGAACAAAUGUGUAAGUAACUAUGCACGUCUUGACGGUACCUAAUCAGAAAGCCGCGGCUAACUACGUG